Molecule: ribosomal RNA, 375 nt
Filed under: Triticum aestivum (bread wheat)
Lineage: Eukaryota; Viridiplantae; Streptophyta; Magnoliopsida; Poales; Poaceae
Description: partial small subunit ribosomal RNA
Source: RNAcentral
UUACCUGAUGACAUUAAACAAAUUAUUUUAUCACGUUUGCCAGCACACCCAAAUAGUCUUGCCAGAGCAAUAAGUGUGUGCAAAAAGUGGAAGAGGUUGAUUGCAAGCAAUUCCUUUAGGAGACUGUUGAUUGAUAAUCAGAAGAGUCCUCCUUUCCUAGGACUUUUCACAAGAAUAGAUGGAAUGUUUAGAUUCCUUGCUGUUGGUCAACAUCCUGAUAUGGUUAGAGCUGAAGUGUUUGAGCAACAUUUGCAAAGUGAAACUGACGAUCCUUUCUUAAACAAUAUGCUAAUCGUUGAUGUUCGUCAUGGCAAGGUACUAUUGCUGUGCACACAAGGUAGGAUUCUCGCAGUCUGGGAUCCUAUGAAUGGAUAA